UGAAAUAGUUGAAGUUUUUAAAAGUUUAUUUUGUUUGUUGUACCUUGUGUAUCAGGGUUCAUUGAAUUUUAUUAUUUAUUUUUAUUUCCCGAUUUUAGAGGAGUUAAUGGUUUAUGUUAGUUACUGUUUUAUUAGUAUUAAUAAUGGAUUAUUGGUAGUGAAAUGUUAUUCGUCUUUAACGGUUUCUGGUUUUUCAAGAAAUGAAUUUAAUUCAUGCUCCUUAUUUAAGUUUUACUUUUAUGUAUGUCUUUUUAUUUGGUGUUAAUAUUAGGGGGGAUUAGCUUCCUAUUUGACUUUUAUAAUUUUGUUUGCUUGAGUAGUAUUCAUUAUGUAAUUAGUAAAUGGUUUCUUUGUGUUGUUUGAUUUUAUGUUAGAUUCUUUUUAGGAAUUCGGCAAGAUUUUCAUGCCCGCCUGUUUAACAAAAACAUCUUUUCUUGUUAGUUUUUGAAGUAAGGCCUGCCCACUGAUUUGGUUAUUGAAGGGCCGCGGUAUUUUGACCGUGCAAAGGUAGCAUAAUCAUUAGUUCUUUAAUUGUGAUCUGGUAUGAAUGGUUUGACGAGGCAUGCACUGUCUUAAAUUAGUUGAAUAAUUUUAUUGAAUUUGGAGUUUGAGUUAAAAUUCUUAAAUGCUUAUAUGGGACGAGAAGACCCUAUAGAGUUUAAUACUUGUAUUUAUUUGCUGUUAUGGUUUGAUUUAUAGUUUUAUAGUAGAUAAAGUAUUUUGUUGGGGUGAUGGGAGGAAUUUAUGUAACUCCUCUUAUUUUAGUUAUAUUUGUUUGUAUUUUCUUGAUCCAUUUAUUUUGAUUAUAAGAUUAAAUUACCUUAGGGAUAACAGCGUAAUCUUCCUUGAGAGUUCUUAUUGGCAGGAGGGUUUGCGACCUCGAUGUUGGAUUAAGGUGAAUUUUUGGUGCAGGAGCUGAAAGUGAUUAGGUCUGUUCGACCUUUAAAAUCUUACAUGAUCUGAGUUCAGACCGGCGUGAGCCAGGUUGGUUUCUAUCUAUAGUAAUAUUUUAUAUCUUAGUACGAGAGGACCGGAUAUUUGGAAUAAUUUUAAUUUUAACGUGAUUAUUAAUAAUGAUAU
RNAcentral lists this ribosomal RNA (1080 nucleotides) under Acholotermes sp. CMRT125. RNAcentral describes it as "16S ribosomal RNA". The stretch from base 633 to 1001 matches the Rfam family "Bacterial large subunit ribosomal RNA", at positions 2074 to 2646 of the family's 2925-position model. The record is from RNAcentral. Lineage: Eukaryota; Metazoa; Arthropoda; Insecta; Blattodea; Termitidae.